AUGAAAGACCUUGGUGUGGCUGAUGUUAUCUUGAACAUCAAGCUACUGAGAGAUAAUGAGGGUGGGAUCACACUUCUGCAAUCCCAUUACGUUGAGAAGGUGUUGAGUCGUUUUGGAUAUUCGGACUGCACACCAUCUCAAACACCAUAUGAUCCUAGCGUAUUGAUUCGAAAGUCCAAAGGCAUGGCUAAAGAUCAAUUGAGAUACUCUCAAAUCAUUGGUUCACUGAUGUACCUAGCGAGCGCAACGAGGCCUGACAUCGCGUUUGCUGUGAGCAAACUGAGCCGGUUUGUUUCCAAACCGGGUGAUGUACAUUGGCAUGCCGUUGAGAGAGUUAUGCGCUAUCUGAAAGGUACUAUGAACUAUGGACUUCACUAUACCGGAUACCCGUCGGUACUUGAAGGGUAUAGUGAUGCGAAUUGGAUCUCUGAUGCUGAUGAGAUGAAGGCCACAACUGGGUAUAUGUUUACUCUUGGAGGUGGCGCUGUUUCCUGGAAGUCUUGCAAGCAAACGAUCUUAACGAGAUCGACAAUGGAAGCAGAAUUAACGGCAUUAGACACAUCUGGUGUUGAAGCCAGAUGGCUUCGAGAUCUUUUGAUGGACUUGCCAUUGGUUGAUAAACCGGUUCCGGCUAUCCUUAUGAACUGUGACAAUCAGACUGUCAUCACCAAGGUGAAGAGUUCAAAGGACAAUAUGAAGUCCACCAAACACAUAAGAAUGAGAUUAAAAGCUGUCAGAAAAUUAAGAAACUCCGGAGUGAUAGCGUUGGACUAUGUCCAUACGGCUAAGAAUCUGGCAGAUCCCUUUACAAAAGGGCUAUCACGUGUUGUGAUAGAUAAUGCAUCGAGGGAGAUGGGUAUGAGACCCACAUGA
RNAcentral lists this ribosomal RNA (873 nucleotides) under Triticum aestivum (bread wheat). RNAcentral describes it as "partial small subunit ribosomal RNA". Lineage: Eukaryota; Viridiplantae; Streptophyta; Magnoliopsida; Poales; Poaceae. The record is from RNAcentral.